Molecule: long non-coding RNA, 605 nt
Filed under: Rattus norvegicus (Norway rat)
Lineage: Eukaryota; Metazoa; Chordata; Mammalia; Rodentia; Muridae
Description: long non-coding RNA NONRATT014438
Source: RNAcentral
CACCAGCAACUUUACUAAGUCCUCACUAUGAAGUGAAUCUGGUGACAGCAUAUAUAAUCAUGGUGCUCAUGGGCAUCUGGGCAUUCUGUGUUGCUGGAGGCAGCCGCCGAAGCCUGAAACUCUGUCUGCUCUGCCAAGACAAGGACUUUCUUCUUUACAACCAGCGCUCCAGAUAACCUCUGACGGUCAGCACCUCCAAACAGCAGCCUGUGUGCCAGAGGAAGGGCAGCCGGGCCCUGUUCUAAAAUGACCCUUUUCUUCUGGAGCUUUGGAGCAGCAGAGCUUCUAGCCUGCAACUGUCCUGUGCUUUCAUGCAGCAGCCUCUGGAAGAGCUGCAGUGUGGCCUGCAGCCUGGCUGCACAUUUGAGGCAUCUGGGGAAACAAAGACCGAUGCUUCUGGGCCUCCCCUCCAGACUCGAGUAUCCCAGAUGUGCAAUACAGCUGAGUCACUGGGGUCCAAUGGGAAGUUUCAGAGAACCCAAAGGCAGUUCUGUAUUUGUCUCCUAAGCCAACCUCUGCUGAGCAAGUAAAUUUCUGAAAACCUGGAAAAAAAAAAAAAAAGAAAGUAAACUGGGCUUCCUGCUCACCGUGUCAUGUGAUCUGUG